Molecule: transfer RNA, 81 nt
Filed under: Daedalea quercina L-15889
Lineage: Eukaryota; Fungi; Basidiomycota; Agaricomycetes; Polyporales; Fomitopsidaceae
Description: tRNA-Ala
Rfam family: tRNA
About the family: Transfer RNA (tRNA) molecules are approximately 80 nucleotides in length. Their secondary structure includes four short double-helical elements and three loops (D, anti-codon, and T loops).
Source: RNAcentral
GGGCAUGUGGUGUAGUUGGUUAUCACGCUCGCUUAGCAGUGUACUUGCGAGAGGGGUCCGGUUCGAUCCCGGACAUGUCCA